GACGAACGCUGGCGGCGUGCCUAAUACAUGCAAGUCGAACGCUUCUUUCCUCCCGAGUGCUUGCACUCAAUUGGAAAGAGGAGUGGCGGACGGGUGAGUAACACGUGGGUAACCUACCCAUCAGAGGGGGAUAACACUUGGAAACAGGUGCUAAUACCGCAUAACAGUUUAUGCCGCAUGGCAUAAGAGUGAAAGGCGCUUUCGGGUGUCGCUGAUGGAUGGACCCGCGGUGCAUUAGCUAGUUGGUGAGGUAACGGCUCACCAAGGCCACGAUGCAUAGCCGACCUGAGAGGGUGAUCGGCCACACUGGGACUGAGACACGGCCCAGACUCCUACGGGAGGCAGCAGUAGGGAAUCUUCGGCAAUGGGCGAAAGUCUGACCGAGCAACGCCGCGUGAGUGAAGAAGGUUUUCGGAUCGUAAAACUCUGUUGUUAGAGAAGAACAAGGGCGUUAGUAACUGAACGUCCCCUGACGGUAUCUAACCAGAAAGCCACGGCUAACUACGUG
Molecule: ribosomal RNA, 508 nt
Filed under: uncultured bacterium
Lineage: Bacteria
Description: partial 16S ribosomal RNA
Rfam family: Bacterial small subunit ribosomal RNA
Source: RNAcentral